RNAcentral lists this ribosomal RNA (242 nucleotides) under uncultured bacterium. RNAcentral describes it as "partial 16S ribosomal RNA". It matches the Rfam family "Bacterial small subunit ribosomal RNA", at positions 1264 to 1500 of the family's 1533-position model. The record is from RNAcentral.
CAAGCGGAUCUCUUAAAGACUGUUCUCAGUUCGGACUGCAGUCUGCAACUCGACUGCACGAAGCUGGAAUCGCUAGUAAUCGCGGAUCAGCACGCCGCGGUGAAUACGUUCCCGGGCCUUGUACACACCGCCCGUCACACCAUGGAAGUCUGCAAUGCCCGAAGCCGGUGGCCUAACCACUUAUGUGGAAGGAGCCGUCUAAGGCAGGGCAGAUGACUGGGGUGAAGUCGUAACAAGGUACC